This 67-nucleotide transfer RNA is filed under the name Lacerta bilineata. RNAcentral's name for it is "transfer RNA-Thr". It matches the Rfam family "tRNA". From Rfam's summary of the family: Transfer RNA (tRNA) molecules are approximately 80 nucleotides in length. Their secondary structure includes four short double-helical elements and three loops (D, anti-codon, and T loops). Further hydrogen bonds mediate the characteristic L-shaped molecular structure. tRNAs have two regions of fundamental functional importance: the anti-codon, which is responsible for specific mRNA codon recognition, and the 3' end, to which the tRNAs corresponding amino acid is attached (by aminoacyl-tRNA synthetases). tRNAs cope with the degeneracy of the genetic code in two manners: having more than one tRNA (with a specific anti-codon) for a particular amino acid; and 'wobble' base-pairing, i.e. permitting non-standard base-pairing at the 3rd anti-codon position. The record is from RNAcentral. Lineage: Eukaryota; Metazoa; Chordata; Lepidosauria; Squamata; Lacertidae.
GCCCUAGUAGCUUAAGUUUAAAGCACUGGUCUUGUAAGCCGAAAAUGAAAUGCACCCUCCUAGGACA